RNAcentral lists this ribosomal RNA (199 nucleotides) under uncultured bacterium. Its description in RNAcentral is "partial 16S ribosomal RNA". It matches the Rfam family "Bacterial small subunit ribosomal RNA", at positions 328 to 539 of the family's 1533-position model. The record is from RNAcentral.
ACGCUCGACACCUACGGGGGGCAGCGGUUGGGAAUAUUGGACAAUGGAGGAAACUCUGAUCCAGUGACGCCGCGUGAAGGAAGAAGGUCUUCGGAUUGUAAACUUAUUUUGUCAGGGAAGAAAAAUGACUGUACCUGAAGAAAAAGCACCGGCUAACUACGUGCCAGCAGCCACGGUAAUCUGAGCGGGCUGGCAAGGC